This 424-nucleotide ribosomal RNA is filed under the name Streptococcus sanguinis. Its description in RNAcentral is "bacterial SSU rRNA". It matches the Rfam family "Bacterial small subunit ribosomal RNA", at positions 40 to 452 of the family's 1533-position model. Lineage: Bacteria; Bacillati; Bacillota; Bacilli; Lactobacillales; Streptococcaceae. The record is from RNAcentral.
CGGCGUGCCUAAUACAUGCAAGUAGAACCGGUGAAGAGAGGAGCUUGCUCUUCUUGGAUGAGUUGCGAACGGGUGAGUAACGCGUAGGUAACCUGCCUGGUAGCGGGGGAUAACCUAUUGGAAACGAUAGCUAAUACCGCAUAAAAUUGAUUAUUGCAUGAUAAUUAAUUGAAAGAUGCAAUUGCAUCACUACCAGAUGGACCUGCGUUGUAUUAGCUAGUUGGUGAGGUAACGGCUCACCAAGGCGACGAUACAUAGCCGACCUGAGAGGGUGAUCGGCCCCACUGGGACUGAGACACGGCCCAGACUCCUACGGGAGGCAGCAGUAGGGAAUCUUCGGCAAUGGGGGGAACCCUGACCGAGCAACGCCGCGUGAGUGAAGAAGGUUUUCGGAUCGUAAAGCUCUGUUGUAAGAGAAGAACGG